GUUCACUUUGGUGACACACAUACUUACACUGGAGAGAUACUGAGAAGGUGGGCAUGGCUCCUGCCCAAGGAUGACCCACAAAUUCACAAAGUGUUCCAUAUUUGG
This is a small nuclear RNA of Hemicordylus capensis (graceful crag lizard), 105 nucleotides long. The record is from RefSeq and is a predicted model, not a curated record. NCBI's taxonomy places the organism in Eukaryota, Metazoa, Chordata, Lepidosauria, Squamata, Cordylidae.